CCAUCAAGUUACAUACUAUUUUUUUGAAGAAAAAAAAGGAGGAGAGUCCUAGAUUGUUUUCUUGGAUACCUGUAAAGGUCGGACACUUAUACGGUUUUAAAAGGAAUCAAAGAGAUAUCCACGAUCAUCAAAUUAUGGUGAAUACUUACCUACACAAAGGUGAAGAUGAGAUCUUCAAAAUUUUGCUUUGCUAAAAUUUUAUUUGCUAUACAUAGAUCCUAAGAACAUG
This 229-nucleotide long non-coding RNA is filed under the name Elaeis guineensis (African oil palm). RNAcentral describes it as "long non-coding RNA (EGUI_LNC054989)". Lineage: Eukaryota; Viridiplantae; Streptophyta; Magnoliopsida; Arecales; Arecaceae. The record is from RNAcentral.